This 495-nucleotide ribosomal RNA is filed under the name uncultured bacterium. Its description in RNAcentral is "partial 16S ribosomal RNA". It matches the Rfam family "Bacterial small subunit ribosomal RNA", at positions 28 to 505 of the family's 1533-position model. The record is from RNAcentral.
GAUGAACGCUGGCGGCGUGCCUAAUACAUGCAAGUCGAGCGAACAGACGAGGAGCUUGCUCCUCUGACGUUAGCGGCGGACGGGUGAGUAACACGUGGAUAACCUACCUAUAAGACUGGGAUAACUUCGGGAAACCGGAGCUAAUACCGGAUAAUAUAUUGAACCGCAUGGUUCAAUAGUGAAAGACGGUUUUGCUGUCACUUAUAGAUGGAUCCGCGCCGCAUUAGCUAGUUGGUAAGGUAACGGCUUACCAAGGCAACGAUGCGUAGCCGACCUGAGAGGGUGAGCGGCCACACUGGAACUGAGACACGGUCCAGACUCCUACGGGAGGCAGCAGUAGGGAAUCUUCCGCAAUGGGCGAAAGCCUGACGGAGCAACGCCGCGUGAGUGAUGAAGGUCUUCGGAUCGUAAAACUCUGUUAUUAGGGAAGAACAAAUGUGUAAGUAACUAUGCACGUCUUGACGGUACCUAAUUAGAAAGCCACGGCUAACUACG